GCGAAAACCCUUUGAAGAAGAAAAAGAUCAGACAAAAUGAAAAUUAGGGUUUCCUUUUUCUUCUCUGCGUCGGUGCUGGCUUCGUCUUUUGCUUGUACGGCGUCGUCUCUCCCCAAUGACUAUGAGAUAUAGAACGGCGUCGUUACAUUAGAGUGGGGCCAGUGGGCCAAUUAUGUGUAAUUUCCUUUUCUUUUUUUUUGUUUGGUAAGAACUUCCAAUUUGAUACAAAGAUACCUGCCCCGCAAAUUUGGAAAGGCCCAUUAAAAGAUUAUGUACGCAGGAAAGAAACGAUGACGUUUUUACAAAUGUGUUAAAUGUUUGACUAUUUUUGAUAUAAAAAAAAAGUCAAACAAAAUCUCAACAGGUCCGUUCAUAUAAUAUACUUGUAUCAUCA
RNAcentral lists this small RNA (394 nucleotides) under Arabidopsis thaliana (thale cress). RNAcentral describes it as "putative long intergenic non-coding RNA". Lineage: Eukaryota; Viridiplantae; Streptophyta; Magnoliopsida; Brassicales; Brassicaceae. The record is from RNAcentral.